Molecule: long non-coding RNA, 2890 nt
Filed under: Homo sapiens (human)
Lineage: Eukaryota; Metazoa; Chordata; Mammalia; Primates; Hominidae
Description: non-protein coding lnc-FZD2-3:1
Source: RNAcentral
GUCUUUUCUCACUGUUGCUUCCCCGUGUGCGCAGAAGUCCAUCGUCUUCACUAAAUAGCAGCAUAAUGUUGGGCCGAAAGCGCGACCUUAGAGCCAGACUGCUUAGCUUCGAAUCUCAGCUCACCCUGAGGAUUCAACGGUGAACGAGACAGGAAUGAUCUCCUCUUAUGGGGAUUUCAUUCCAGUGGAAGAACUCACAUAACUCGUAAAAUAAAUAUUUUUAAAUAUCAACAAGUGCCACAAAAAAGUAAAACUGGCCACAGUGCUGAGAGGGACAGUCUCUGAAAGGACCUUUGACCGAGGCACAGCGAGGAGCCUACAGCAUUGGGGCAUAGGGAACGUUAGACCCAAAGGCCCAAAGACUGCAAGGAGCUUGACUUCGAGCCAUCCUUUGAGAGAAGUAUUUCACAAGGGACCGAAGUUGAUCCAGAUCGACUAAAGCUCUCUGGGCUUCAGUUUCCUUUUUAUACAAUAGGGAAAUUGGAUUCAGUAAUCUCUGAUGCUCCUGCCUAGCGCUGACUAUGAGAGUCAAGAAUCGGAUUUUUCCAUCCCUUCUGAGGACCUCACCCAGUGCUCCAGGACUCUUAGCCAAAAUACAUAAAACACAUAGAAGGGUGGCAGGACUUCUCUCCUUUUGAAAAGAGUAGUUGACAGAAAUCACACAAUGGAAAAAUGGGUCUUACCCUGCCCUGAAAGAGUCAAAUGGAAUGUAAUUUUUUGAGGAAGGGUGUGUAUUUUCUAGCUGUUACCCUUUGCCCCACCCAUGCUUCAGCCUACGCUUCCAUCUAAGGGGAGGCAGGGCACACAGAAUUCAAACAUUGUAUUCUUUUUUUUUUUUUUUUUUUGAGACGGAGUCUCGCACUGUCGCCGGAGUACAGUGGCGCAAUCUCGGCUCACUGCAACCUCCGCCUCCCAGGUUCAAGAGAUUCUCCUGCCUCAGCCACCCUAGUAGCUGGGAUUACAGGCGCCCACCACUAAGCCCAGCUCAUUUGUUUUUUUUUUUUUUUGAAAAGGAGUCUCACUCUGUCGCCCAGGCUGGAGUGCAGUGGCGCGAUCUCGGCUCACUGCAAGCUCCGCCUUCCGGGUUCACGCCAUUCUCCUGCCUCAGCCUCCCGAGUAGCUGGGACUACAGGCGCCCGCCACCAAGCCCGGCUAAUUUUUUGUAUUUUUAGUAGAGACGGGGUUUCACCGUGUUAGCCAGGCUGGUCUCGAUCUCCUGACCUCGUGAUCCGCCUGCCUCGGCCUCCCAAAAUGCUGGAAUUACAGGCGUGAGCCACCUCGCCCGGACUUUUUUUUUUUUUUUUUUUUUUGUAUUUUUAGUGGAGGCGGGGUUCACCAUGUUGGCAAGGCUGGUCUGGAACUCCUGACCUUGUGAUCCGCCCGCCUCAGCCUCCCAAAGUGCUGAGAUUACAGGCGUGAGCCACCGAGCCUGGCUCAAACAUUGUAAAGAGACUUAAGGGUAGCGUGAAAGAUUGAAUCACGAGGAUACACAUCACACUGACCUCUUCUUCCUCUCAAAAGCCCACUGAAAUGACAGCAGAGGAAUAAGAAGUGCAUAAAUUCACAUGGACAAAGAGACCUGGAGAAGAGACAAUGGCAGACAACAGAUGUCAACAUUUUGGAGGCCAGAGAGCACAGAUAAAUGGAAAUGACUUUAGUAGAGUGGAGAAAAAGAAGUCAUAGAGUAGGAGAAGACAGGAAAGAAGUUGAUCAAUGCUAAAGUGCACCAGAAAGGCUCAGGAAGUAGAAGCCCCUGGUGCCACUGAUGAUUCGAUGUCUCUUUUCCCACCCAGGUAGCAAACUAGAGGUUUUCCCUCUGGAAAGGCUGAACCAGAGAGACUGGACUUUAUAGGUGAGAAGGAGCAACCAUGCUGAAAAUGGGAGGAUAUGGUAAAGCCUCCAUUCUGGCCAGAGAGUCUGACUUCUCCAACAAAAGAACAUAGGAACCCUCUCUAGAAAAUUGACUAGCUUAGGGAAGAAAAUGCUUCAUGUACCAACAAUGGGAGUGAGGGUAGGGAGGUGUCUUCCUACAUAAAGAUCAUGUUCCUGCCCAAAUACUCCACAGAGAAGUCCAUCAUUCAGGAAGCCCCAUCCACACAGACCUUUCACUCAGCUUUUUAGUGCCUUGUUAUGAAUGGAUAGCCAAAGAAUGCCAGACAUUUGAAGGGAACCUGUAACAGGAAAGAUAGAAACACCCCCAGCCUGGGCAUUGUAGUAAGACCCCAACUCUGCAAAAGAACUUUAAAACUAGGCGUGGUGGCAUGCACCUGUGGUCCCAGCUACUUGGGAGGCUGAGGCAAGAGGAUUGCUGAAGCCCAGGAUUUGGAGGCUGCAGUGAGCUAUGAUGACAGCAACAGCCCCCCUCCCCCAAAAAACGAAUUCAGAGGAACCAGAGAUAAUGAAAGGAACAGAAGAAACCAUCAAAAGAAUUAUCAACAUCCACGGAGACAUUAUAUCACAUCAGGGUACAAGGGAACACAUCAGGAAAUAAGAGACUGCAUCAAGGGGCAUGGGAUGCCAAAAAAGAAAAAAGGAUAUUGAGUUUAAGAAAGAACUUUUGGCCGGCGCGGUGGCUCAUGCCUAUAGUCCCAGCACUUUGGGAGGCUGAGGCUGAAGCAGGCGGAUUGCCUGAGGUCAGGAGUUCGAGACCAGUCUGGCCAACAUGGUGAAACCCCGUCUCUACUAAAAAUACAAAAAAAUUAGCCGGGCGUGGUGGUGUGCACCUGUAAUCCCAGCUACUCGGGAGGCUGAGGCAGGGGAAUUGGGCGACAGAGCAAGACUCCAUCUCAAAAAAAAAGAAAUUUUGGGGCUGGGUGUGGUGGCUCAUGCCUAUAAUACCACCACUUUAGGAGGCCAAGGCAGGUGGAUCACUUGAGGUCAGGAGUUGGAG